UAUUAUCAUUGUCAUAACUUUUUAUAAAGUAACACUUGUCAAAACUACCUGGAGGUAUUUAAUAACCAAUGUAAACAGUUUCAUGUGAUGUCAAUCUAUUAAUGUGUGGUAAUUUUCAAGGUUUGCUCUGAUCAUAAGUUAGAGCAGCAAUACAAUAAUUUGCUCUUCAUCAGUAUGUCCUGAGCCUUUACAGAGAUGGACAGUGUUAUCAAUUAGAAUAGCAUUUCUUGUCUUUUUUAAAACU
Molecule: long non-coding RNA, 244 nt
Filed under: Bos taurus (domestic cattle)
Lineage: Eukaryota; Metazoa; Chordata; Mammalia; Artiodactyla; Bovidae
Description: long non-coding RNA NONBTAT018395
Source: RNAcentral